Molecule: long non-coding RNA, 848 nt
Filed under: Anser cygnoides (Swan goose)
Lineage: Eukaryota; Metazoa; Chordata; Aves; Anseriformes; Anatidae
Description: lncRNA (ENSACDG00005012396.1)
Source: RNAcentral
AUUCUUUUUCCUGGAUCUGUGCUUCGGAAUUCUCCAAAGAAGGUUUCUCCGCUUCCAUUCUAGCGGAAGAAGGCAAGAAAUUUAAAUUUCUGUAUGCCAAAUCCCAGCAACUGUUUUCAAUAUUGAGACAUACUGCAUCAGCUUCCCGCUUGGAGAACGUGCUUUCUUCUUUAUGGAGUCUAGUUUUCUUCUUCGUGUGGCUUGUCCAGUUGAUGCAACCCCUCUAACAUUGCCUUGUUGCUUGUGAGCAAAAACAUUUCGAAAACAAUGCACUUGCUGCUAGAUGGCUGCCAGAUUGAAAAGCAGCUGCUGACACCAUCUGCACGAGGUGGAAUGGAAACAGAAGCAAGGAAAGAGCAGCUGAAGCCUGGACGUCAUUUUAAAAGGUAUGAGUUGAUUUAUGAAGUGAGAUGGAAUUACUGGGUUAGAUGGAACAACCGCAGUAAGUCCUCCUUUGCCCUAAAACUGCUGCAACUUCCCUGUGUGGUGUCUGCUUUGUUUUGGGGUGAUCCCCCUCAAAGCUUUUUAUGUUUAGUGGCACUGAGCUUUUCAGCAAGAAUGUGUUCUGCUUCUGGGCCGUCUGUUGGAGGUGGCCUGGCAGACAAGGCUGCUGAAACAGGAGGAGGAAAAAAUUGUCAUCGAGUGUCUACAGGUGAGCGAACGUAGCAGGUGAGCAGUUCCGCUUCCACCACCAAAAACACUUUCUCCUGGAGAUAGACCGCUAAAUGAAAGGGAGGAAAUGCUGAGCUUCAAGUCCCCUAGGCUAGAGUGCACUCCCGUGCAUUAAAUCCACGUGAAUUUACUUUCAUGUCGAGUAACUUUAAUAAAUAUUUGAUGACCUAGAAGCA